Oncorhynchus keta (chum salmon) is the source of this 1040-nucleotide long non-coding RNA. RefSeq lists it as uncharacterized. The transcript has 4 exons. Lineage: Eukaryota; Metazoa; Chordata; Actinopteri; Salmoniformes; Salmonidae. The record is from RefSeq and is a predicted model, not a curated record.
AGUCCAGGUGAGUGACAGAUAUAGGGAAGAUAAUCAAGGAGGUGAUGGAGUCCAGGUGAGUGACAGAUAUAGGGAAGAUAAUCAAGGAGGUGAUGGAGUCCAGGGGAGUGACAGGUAGAGGGAAGAUAAUCAAGGAGCUGAUGAAGUCCAGGUGAGUGACAGAUAUAGGGAAGAUAAUCAAGGAGGUGAUGGAGUCCAGGUGAGUGACAGAUAUAGGGAAGAUAAUCAAGGAGGUGAUGGAGUCCAGGUGAGUGACAGAUAUAGGGAAGAUAAUCAAGGAGGUGAUGGAGUCCAGGUGAGUGACAGAUAUAGGGAAGAUAAUCAAGGAGGUGAUGGAGUCCAGGUGAGUGACAGAUAUAGGGAAGAUAAUCAAGGAGGUGAUGGAGUCCAGGUGAGUGACAGAUAUAGGGAAGAUAAUCAAGGAGGUGAUGGAGUCCAGGUGAGUGACAGAUAUAGGGAAGAUAAUCAAGGAGGUGAUGGAGUCCAGGUGAGUGACAGAUAUAGGGAAGAUAAUCAAGGAGGUGAUGGAGUCCAGGUGAGUGACAGAUAUAGGGAAGAUAAUCAAGGAGGUGAUGGAGUCCAGGUGAGUGACAGAUAUAGGGAAGAUAAUCAAGGAGGUGAUGGAGUCCAGGUGAGUGACAGAUAUAGGGAAGAUAAUCAAGGAGGUGAUGGAGUCCAGGUGAGUGACAGAUAUAGGGAAGAUAAUCAAGGAGGUGAUGGAGUCCAGGUGAGUGACAGAUAUAGGGAAGAUAAUCAAGGAGGUGAUGGGAGACCAGGUGAGUGACAUGAAGCGCAGGUACACAAGACGAUGGUGACAGGUGUGCAGGACAAUCAGCAGCCUGAUGACCUAGAGGCCGGAGACGGAGUAUGCGUGACUACCUGGACUCCAUUUCCUCUCUCAUUGCCUCCUCUAUAUCUUUCCCUUAGGUCUAUUCCCCAGGCAGCAUUCAUGUUGUUCCAUGUCCGUACGCUGCACUUGUGUCUCUGUUACGUUUCUUAUGAAACUCUCUACCUGAACUUGCUUCCUGUUUCCCAGCGUC